This 288-nucleotide long non-coding RNA is filed under the name Notechis scutatus (mainland tiger snake). RNAcentral's name for it is "lncRNA (ENSNSUG00000011814.1)". The record is from RNAcentral. Lineage: Eukaryota; Metazoa; Chordata; Lepidosauria; Squamata; Elapidae.
GACUGACAAAGGUCUGAGACCAACUUCUUGAGAUCAGUCAUCUUGAGCCAAGACGGAAGAACAUUUGAUUCUUUGCUAAGGUUCUUAACCUGGAGUAACUAACUCAUCUGUACUGUAUUCAUAUUAAGAGUGUUUGAAGAGGAAAAUAAUACUGAAACAGUGACGGACUCUUCCUUGGCACCCUCUUCUUGGUCUGCAACUGAAGAAUGUAAGCAAGUCAGCUUGGUUCCCUCUCUUGAUAAAUGUAAAAUCUGUGGCAUUCACUUGGCAGAUCAACCUAUUUCAAAA